GUGAAUGUGACUUCACUAUAUAGCCUAGGCUGGCCUCGAACUUGCUGCGAUCCUCCUGCCUCUGCCCCCACCCCCUACCCCCCACCUAGUGCUAGGAUUACAGGCAUGUACCUACAGACAAAGAGAAAAUGUUUUAAAAUACAUAUUAGUCAAUUUACAGGAUUAAUACUACUUACAAAUUUUUCUGUGUGUCUUUUAUAUACUACAGUUCUAAGGGCUGGGGAUAUAGUUCAGUGGUAGAGUGGCUGCUUUCCAAGUGCAAGGUCCAGAGUUCAUUUUCCAGCACUACAAAUACAUAAAUGUGUAUACACACGUGUAUACAUUUUGUACCUAUAUAUAGGGUAUUGAAAUGCUUGUUUUUCUUUUUCUUUCUUUUUUUUUUUUUUUUUUGGGUACUGGGGAUCGAACUCGGUCCUUGUGCUUGUGCAGUAGGCCGCGAAACCACUGAGCUAAAUCCCCAACCCAAAAUGCUUGUUUUUCAGUACUCUCCAUGAUCUCUUCCCAUGUGAGCCUAUUUAAUUGGUCAGUCUAAAUUCCUAGUGUUUCAAAGUGGACUUUGACAGACACAAAACAGGAGAGUGGUAAAAAUAACAGUAUCAGUGACAAAUAGCAGCACCAAUGUUUGUCCUUGACUUGCCACAGUGCUCACAAUGUGCUCAGCACUUGAUAAACAUCUUCAAUCGUCAUAGCUGCCCCUUAAAAAAAUACUAAUAUUAUCUCCAUUUUACAUAAGGGAAACUGAAAAUCCAAGACUUAACAUGACUUCCCCAAGGCCACACUGCUGGAGAAAGGAAAUCCUACGAAUUAAAUGUGUUGUCAGAAGCUGGUUUAAAAAAAGAAAAGAUGGAAGCCAGGCACAGUGGCACAAGACUUAAUCCCAGCUAUUUGGGAGGCUGAAACAGGAAGACUGACUUCAAGUCCACCAUGGGGAACGUGAUGAGACACCUUUCUCAAAAAUAGAAAGACAAGGACUGGCAUAGUGUGGUGGAUUAUAAGGCUCUUCAGGAUCAAUUUUGGAACAAUAACAAAAAGUCAUGAUAAUAAAGCAGAAAGUAAAUGAUGAAUGACCUGAAAUAAGAGUCCCAUUUAUGUAUUUAUAUUCCAGAAGAAGAAACAACAUGAAGCAUUCACAAAGGUUGCAUCUAAUACUUUUCUUUUUAUAAAAUAUCUAUGAUCACUUUUCCCUGAUUGACUGUUAGAAAAAUACUAUUUUUUUUCAUGCAAUAUCAUUAAUCAAGUGGUAGGAGUUUGAAAUGUCC
RNAcentral lists this long non-coding RNA (1259 nucleotides) under Heterocephalus glaber (naked mole-rat). Its description in RNAcentral is "lncRNA (ENSHGLG00000033095.1)". The record is from RNAcentral. Lineage: Eukaryota; Metazoa; Chordata; Mammalia; Rodentia; Bathyergidae.